UACGUAGGUUGCAAGCGUUGUCCGGAUUUACUGGGUGUAAAGGGCGUGUAGGCGGAGAUGCAAGUUGGGAGUGAAAUCCCGGGGCUCAACCCCGGAGCUGCUUUCAAAACUGCAUCGCUUGAGUAUCGGAGAGGCAAGCGGAACUCCUAGUGUAGCGGUGAAAUGCGUAGAUAUUAGGAGGAACACCAGUGGCGAAGGCGGCUUGCUGGACGACAACUGACGCUGAGGCGCGAAAGCGUGGGGAGCAAACAGG
Molecule: ribosomal RNA, 253 nt
Filed under: uncultured bacterium
Lineage: Bacteria
Description: partial 16S ribosomal RNA
Rfam family: Bacterial small subunit ribosomal RNA
Source: RNAcentral